Betta splendens (Siamese fighting fish) is the source of this 1736-nucleotide long non-coding RNA. The record is from Ensembl. Lineage: Eukaryota; Metazoa; Chordata; Actinopteri; Anabantiformes; Osphronemidae.
CUGAAAGAAAAAUGGCCACUUGCGCACGGAGAGUGCAAUAAACAUGCGCAAAGGCUGAACAACAACACAACGAACAAAGACACGACACAGACAACAGUUUAGUUUAUGACCGUAAACACUCGGUAAACACUGGAGCGAUCCUAUCUACAGCACUCACUGACACUGAGAAAGUGUCUCAGUGUGCACAGUACUUGUGUAAGAGCGAUAAGGACGGCGGUGUCGGAUUUCAACAAGCUCAGCAGCCAAUGAAGAACAAAGAUCCUAGCACCUGACUGAGUGCACCUGUAUUAACGUGCACACACACACCAGCAGUUUCCAUGAUAACAAGGAACUUGACGUGGGAGUAGUAACAUACCAGCAGAGAGUAGAAAACAGCCCUGAACAGCACAUCACUUAAAUCAUUUGAAGAUGAUGCGAUCGCUGUUCCUGUGUAUGCUGCUGCUGCGAGCUGUGGUCUCUGAAGAGGGAGAAGGCUCGGGCUGUGAUGGUAGAAUCGAUGACGAUGAAGAUGCAGAAUGUGUAACUAAAAGUGUUCAAUCCAAGAAUCAUCAGGAUUCAUUAUUUGUAGAUAAAGCUAAAGGCGAAGAUGAGAGAGAGGAGAAUUAUACCAUGAUUAUCAUAAUUGUGGCUGCAGUCGUGAUGGUUCUGUCAGUGGCUGCUGUAGUCAUUAUACUGUUGGUGAGGCGUCACAUGCAGAGUCGCCAGCCGGGGGUGUACACUGUGCCAACAGAGCAGGACCAGAAAGUGGCCGUCUAAGUCCUGGAGCCGUGGCAGUUGUGUAGCACACAGGCGAGAGAGGAGCAGUACGCUGGGCUUUGUCUGCUCCACUCUUGGUCUCAGGGCAAUUAACUGUCUUUACGCAAAAGCCUGCAUCCAACCGCUCAGUUCACACGGCCUCCUAUCUGAACCUAUUCAUUAUACUUUGUUGUUUUAACUGUUGUGUACUUGCAGUACAGGUUUGUUCUCCACACACACGGUUUACCCUGGGACUCUUGGAACACAUUCAACGUUUCUAAUUAAGUUCUAUUUGAGGAAUAUCCAAAUCAAAGCCAGCGCAUACGACUUAAAGCUUCUUUUGUUAAAAUGGCUAAUUUAGCACAGCCAUGGCUCCUCCCUUUUUAUACCCCAAACCCAGAAAUUAUACCCAGUGCCUUUGCAGUGAAACUGUAUUUGCCUUUGAUUUACUGCCUGUGGAACAGACUUGUCAGUGUGAAAUGGUGAUUGAGUGAGACAAAACCUGCUAAUCCCCACUAAGACAUCCCAGUGCUGUCUUCAUCCUCCCGUUCACUUGUCUGACAUAUUCUGUUUUUGGGCCCGUUAGGAGUGACAGGAGUGCAAUAGAAAGGUAAAAACCUGUCGCCUGCUUCUUAACCUCAGUUAAAGUGCAACAAGUGGAAAUAGCCAGUGUUAACACCUUCCUCGGAGAAGGCAAAUUAAUCUAACGCCAUCAAUGAUGAUGUUUUCCCGCCCCCUUCUCCCCUUGAAGGGCUUUCAGCUCAGUUCCAUUCUCUGUAAAUAGGUCUGUGAGUUGUGUAUAGAUGUAGACAAAUGCCUCAAACACUGGCAUAGAGAAGCUUGGUAGGAGGGGAAAAUCUCACGAAGCAAAUCAAGGACUGGGGCUGAUUGGGAAAAUACAAACAAUGCCUUUGUUUCACUCACACUGAGCAUGAUGGCUUCUCUAGUUUCAUUUAAAUGGAAAUCAAUCAAAGCCCUAUGAAGGAAAGCUUUUUGUUGAA